Molecule: ribosomal RNA, 465 nt
Filed under: uncultured bacterium
Lineage: Bacteria
Description: partial 16S ribosomal RNA
Rfam family: Bacterial small subunit ribosomal RNA
Source: RNAcentral
CCUACGGGAGGCAGCAGUGGGGAAUAUUGCGCAAUGGGCGAAAGCCUGACGCAGCGACGCCGCGUGAGGGAUGAAGGUCUUCGGAUCGUAAACCUCUGUCAGCAGGGAAGAACGGUCACUGUGCUAAUCAGCAGUGAAUUGACGGUACCUGCAAAGGAAGCACCGGCUAACUCCGUGCCAGCAGCCGCGGUAAUACGGAGGGUGCGAGCGUUAAUCGGAAUUACUGGGCGUAAAGCGCUCGUAGGCGGUAUGUCAAGUCAAGGGUGAAAGCCCCGCGCUCAACGUGGGAACUGCCUUUGAAAAGGGCAAACUGGAGUGUGUGAGAGGAUAGUGGAAUUCCAGGUGUAGGAGUGAAAUCCGUAGAUAUCUGGAGGAACAUCAGUGGCGAAGGCGACUAUCUGGCACAUAACUGACGCUGAGGAGCGAAAGCGUGGGUAGCAAACAGGAUUAGAUACCCGGGUAGUC